This 433-nucleotide ribosomal RNA is filed under the name uncultured bacterium. RNAcentral describes it as "partial 16S ribosomal RNA". It matches the Rfam family "Bacterial small subunit ribosomal RNA", at positions 29 to 507 of the family's 1533-position model. The record is from RNAcentral.
AACGAACGCUGGCGGCAUGCCUAACACAUGCAAGUCGAACGAGACCUUCGGGUCUAGUGGCGCACGGGUGCGUAACGCGUGGGAAUCUGCCCUUGGGUUCGGAAUAACUCGCCGAAAGGCGUGCUAAUACCGGAUGAUGACGUAAGUCCAAAGAUUUAUCGCCCAAGGAUGAGCCCGCGUUGGAUUAGCUAGUUGGUGAGGUAAAGGCUCACCAAGGCGACGAUCCAUAGCUGGUCUGAGAGGAGGAUCAGCCACACUGGGACUGAGACACGGCCCAGACUCCCACGGGAGGCAGCAGUGGGGACUAUUAGAGAAUGGCCUAAGGCGUGAUCCGGCCGUGACGCGUGAGUGAUCAAGUCCUUAGGGUUGUAAAGCUCUUUUGCCAGGGCAGAUAAUGACCGGACCGGGAGAAUAAGCUCCGGCUAACUCCGUG